RNAcentral lists this ribosomal RNA (496 nucleotides) under uncultured bacterium. RNAcentral's name for it is "partial 16S ribosomal RNA". It matches the Rfam family "Bacterial small subunit ribosomal RNA", at positions 29 to 507 of the family's 1533-position model. The record is from RNAcentral.
AUGAACGCUGGCGGCGUGCCUAAUACAUGCAAGUCGAGCGAACGGACGAGAAGCUUGCUUCUCUGAUGUUAGCGGCGGACGGGUGAGUAACACGUGGAUAACCUACCUAUAAGACUGGGAUAACUUCGGGAAACCGGAGCUAAAACCGGAUGAUAUUUUGAACCGCAUGGUUCAAAAGUGAAAGACGGUCUUGCUGUCACUUAUAGAUGGAUCCGCGCUGCAUUAGCUAGUUGGUAAGGUAACGGCUUACCAAGGCAACGAUGCAUAGCCGACCUGAGAGGGUGAUCGGCCACACUGGAACUGAGACACGGUCCAGACUCCUACGGGAGGCAGCAGUAGGGAAUCUUCCGCAAUGGGCGAAAGCCUGACGGAGCAACGCCGCGUGAGUGAUGAAGGUCUUCGGAUCGUAAAACUCUGUUAUUAGGGAAGAACAUAUGUGUAAGUAACUGUGCACAUCUUGACGGUACCUAAUCAGAAAGCCACGGCUAACUACGUG